GAUGAACGCUGGCGGCGUGCCUAAUACAUGCAAGUCGAGCGAACAGACGAGGAGCUUGCUCCUCUGACGUUAGCGGCGGACGGGUGAGUAACACGUGGAUAACCUACCUAUAAGACUGGGAUAACUUCGGGAAACCGGAGCUAAUACCGGAUAAUAUAUUGAACCGCAUGGUUCAAUAGUGAAGGACGGUUUUGCUGUCACUUAUAGAUGGAUCCGCGCCGCAUUAGCUAGUUGGUAAGGUAACGGCUUACCAAGGCAACGAUGCGUAGCCGACCUGAGAGGGUGAUCGGCCACACUGGAACUGAGACACGGUCCAGACUCCUACGGGAGGCAGCAGUAGGGAAUCUUCCGCAAUGGGCGAAAGCCUGACGGAGCAACGCCGCGUGAGUGAUGAAGGUCUUCGGAUCGUAAAACUCUGUUAUUAGGGAGGAACAAAUGUGUAAGUAACUAUGCACGUCUUGACGGUACCUAAUCAGAAAGCCACGGCUAACUACGUG
Molecule: ribosomal RNA, 497 nt
Filed under: uncultured bacterium
Lineage: Bacteria
Description: partial 16S ribosomal RNA
Rfam family: Bacterial small subunit ribosomal RNA
Source: RNAcentral